Molecule: long non-coding RNA, 2266 nt
Organism: Pogona vitticeps (central bearded dragon)
Lineage: Eukaryota; Metazoa; Chordata; Lepidosauria; Squamata; Agamidae
Source: Ensembl
GAGGGUCAGUUGUAUUGGAGGCCAUUUUGUGCACAUGGUGGAGCCGCAUGGUGGGGUUUCGGCGGCCAUUUUGGGUACAGGUUUCGCUUUUGAGUGUGUAAGGGGAUAAAGUUGGAGCGGGGGUAAUAGGAGGUGGAUAUACAAUAAAGGAUUAGAUACAAGGAUACAUAGGCGAAUUUGAAUAAAGGGACAAUUACAUAUAAAUAAAUAUUGUAGAGGUUAAUUAAAAAAAAAAGAGGGGAGAGAGGGGCAGAAGACGAAGUAUUAGUGAUUGUUGAAUUGGCUUAACAGUUGCAUAAGGGGAAGUGAACAAGUAGAGGCAAAGAGAGCGGGGGAGGCCGGUAGGGCCUGGCUGUGGGACAGCGAGUGUUUGGCGACGUUACCUGACUGGUAGUGGCUGGAAAACAGUAACAAUGCCUCCAAAAAAAGGGGGUGGCAUUAGAAAAGGGAAGAGUAAGGCUAAGAAGAGGGCUGUUCCUCAGUUGUCCCCGCCUCAGUCGUCGUCUGAUGAUGAAUCAUGGGCGAUGCUAAAGGAGUUACAGGCCAAAGUGGCGAGUUUGGAAGCGAGGAAUUCUGGGGGGCUGGUUUAUGGAGGCCAUGAGGUUACGCCACAUCGUUCUGUUAGGGAAACUAGGGGGCGCCGUAGGGCUGAAAUAAGAGCUAUGACUAUGGAUCUAAUGAAGCGUUUUGAUGCACUUGAUCCUGAGCAGGGGCGGAAUCCCUAUGGGCUGGAGAUGGAGCAGGACGAGGAAAUGACGCCGGUUGGUGCUGGUAGGCGCCCAAGGGUGACCGCAGCACCAGACGCUCCGGACCCAGGAGAAGGAACGUCCCACGUGCAAGACCCUCUGGACGAGCUUCCUUACAGUGGAAGAGGGGUGGUCGAGGCUUCAGGUGACCCAAGGAGGAUGUCGGGUGAGUACGAAGCCUCUCACAAUGCAAGUAGUCAGGCGGCACAGUGGCCAUGGAUGGGAGGAUUACAACAGUCGGGAGUACCACCUAACGCUUGUACAACACCGGGUGUGACAUGGCCAGGCAGUUUUUGGCCACCUAUGGGGCCACAGUGGUUUGGAUGGGGUAUGCCGAUGCAGCCCCCUUUACACAACACACCGGCUGACGAAGGUAAGAGAGGGGUUAUGCGACAGCACCCAUCAGUGCCAAACACAGGGUAUAACACGGUCCCAAUAACUUCUAUGCCGUACUCGGAUUACAGUACGCCACUGGGCGACCAUUUGACGCCCGCAGUUAAGGAGCGGAUUUGGAGAGGCGAUUUCAUUGAUUUUUAUGAUCUCCUUAACCGGGAAUUUGAAGUCAAGGAAAUCGAUAAGGACGAUGAGAAGUUGAAGGAAAAACAUAGGCGUAAACGGCCAGAUAGGAAUUGGAACAAUUGGGUCACGGGUUUCACCAUAUACGCAGGUGUAUUGGUGAAAAUGCAGCCGUGGAAGGCUUCGGCCUUGUUUCAAUACUUCGAUAUUAUGCGUAGAGCGAAAGCUGAGUUUGAGGGCCAGGCUUGGGCGCGUUAUGAUGAGGCGUUCAGAAUGCGAAGUGCGAUUAGACCAGAGAUGCGUUGGGAUGAGACACACCCAGGGCUCUGGUUGCAGCAUAUGUCCCCAGCAAAAACAAUCCUGGGCGAUAGGUUUGAUUGCGGACACUUGAAUAUAAAGUACUUGAGUGGUGCAGGUGCCCGCCAGGGGGCGGGGCAGGCGGUUCAACCCCGCCUGCCUUGCUUUGAAUUCAAUAACAAGGGAUCCUGCAAUAAACCCCAAUGCAGGUUCCGCCAUGAAUGCAUUGGAUGUGGGGGAAGACACCCGCGGAGCACCUGCUUUAGAGCAGGGGGGCAGCAUCAGAAUAGGACAGGGGGAACACAGAGGAAGUCUGAUGGCGCGAGCGGAGCUCCUGGAAAGGGGUCCAACGCCAAUCAGAGUUGAGGUGUUACAGGAGGGUUUGGCGGCAUAUCCCAAUAGGGAGGAUGCUAUGUAUUUGUAUUUCGGUUUUAAGUUUGGGUUUAGGAUUCCCGCAUCGGGGGUUAGGAAGGCAUUUAUGGCACAAAACCUGAAGUCUUUGCUGGGUUUGGAGGCGGUGGCGAAGGAGAAAAUUAGUAAAGAGGUUAAGGAAGGUAGGGUGCUGGGGCCGUUUAGGGAGCCACCCUUAGUUAACUUGAGGGUGUCGCCAUUGGGGAUCGUGCCCAAGAAGAGGAGAGUUUAGGCUGAUACACCAUUUAUCCUUCCCGGAUGGGGAGUCAGUGAAUGAUGCUAUCCCGGAGGAGUUA